RNAcentral lists this ribosomal RNA (60 nucleotides) under Fusarium bataticola. RNAcentral describes it as "partial 28S ribosomal RNA". It matches the Rfam family "Eukaryotic large subunit ribosomal RNA", at positions 1 to 58 of the family's 3401-position model. The record is from RNAcentral. Lineage: Eukaryota; Fungi; Ascomycota; Sordariomycetes; Hypocreales; Nectriaceae.
UUGACCUCGAAUCAGGUAGGAAUACCCGCUGAACUUAAGCAUAUCAAUAAGCGGAAGGAA